CGCGGCCUAUCAGCUUGUUGGUGGGGUAAUGGCCUACCAAGGCGACGACGGGUAGCCGGCCUGAGAGGGUGACCGGCCACACUGGGACUGAGACACGGCCCAGACUCCUACGGGAGGCAGCAGUGGGGAAUAUUGCACAAUGGGCGCAAGCCUGAUGCAGCGACGCCGCGUGAGGGAUGACGGCCUUCGGGUUGUAAACCUCUUUCGCCAGGGACGAAGCGCGAGUGACGGUACCUGGAUAAGAAGCACCGGCUAACUACGUGCCAGCAGCCGCGGUAAUACGUAGGGUGCGAGCGUUGUCCGGAAUUAUUGGGCGUAAAGAGCUCGUAGGCGGUUUGUCGCGUCGGCUGUGAAAUCUGGAGGCUUAACCUUCAGCGUGCAGUCGAUACGGGCAGACUUGAGUUCGGCAGGGGAGACUGGAAUUCCUGGUGUAGCGGUGAAAUGCGCAGAUAUCAGGAGGAACACCGGUGGCGAAGGCGGGUCUCUGGGCCGAUACUGACGCUGAGGAGCGAAAGCGUGGGGAGCGAACAGGAUUAGAUACCCUGGUAGUCCACGCUGUAAACGUUGGGCGCUAGGUGUGGGCGACAUUCCACGUUGUCCGUGCCGUAGCUAACGCAUUAAGCGCCCCGCCUGGGGAGUACGG
RNAcentral lists this ribosomal RNA (643 nucleotides) under uncultured Actinomycetes bacterium. RNAcentral describes it as "bacterial SSU rRNA". It matches the Rfam family "Bacterial small subunit ribosomal RNA", at positions 232 to 885 of the family's 1533-position model. The record is from RNAcentral. Lineage: Bacteria; Bacillati; Actinomycetota; Actinomycetes.